This 26-nucleotide non-coding RNA is filed under the name Rattus norvegicus (Norway rat). The record is from RNAcentral. Lineage: Eukaryota; Metazoa; Chordata; Mammalia; Rodentia; Muridae.
CCUUUGGGCUUCGUGAAGGGGAUUUC